This 507-nucleotide ribosomal RNA is filed under the name Salmonella enterica. RNAcentral describes it as "partial 23S ribosomal RNA". It matches the Rfam family "Bacterial large subunit ribosomal RNA", at positions 689 to 1194 of the family's 2925-position model. Lineage: Bacteria; Pseudomonadati; Pseudomonadota; Gammaproteobacteria; Enterobacterales; Enterobacteriaceae. RNAcentral also lists the same sequence under 1 other name. The record is from RNAcentral.
UGGGCGUUAAGUUGCAGGGUAUAGACCCGAAACCCGGUGAUCUAGCCAUGGGCAGGUUGAAGGUUGGGUAACACUAACUGGAGGACCGAACCGACUAAUGUUGAAAAAUUAGCGGAUGACCUGUGGCUGGGGGUGAAAGGCCAAUCAAACCGGGAGAUAGCUGGUUCUCCCCGAAAGCUAUUUAGGUAGCGCCUCGUGAAUUCAUCUCCGGGGGUAGAGCACUGUUUCGGCUAGGGGGCCAUCCCGGCUUACCAACCCGAUGCAAACUGCGAAUACCGGAGAAUGUUAUCACGGGAGACACACGGCGGGUGCUAACGUCCGUCGUGAAGAGGGAAACAACCCAGACCGCCAGCUAAGGUCCCAAAGUCAUGGUUAAGUGGGAAACGAUGUGGGAAGGCCCAGACAGCCAGGAUGUUGGCUUAGAAGCAGCCAUCAUUUAAAGAAAGCGUAAUAGCUCACUGGUCGAGUCGGCCUGCGCGGAAGAUGUAACGGGGCUAAACCAUGCAC